CAGCCGCCGCGGUAAAACGGAGGGGGCUAGCGUUGUUCGGAAUUACUGGGCGUAAAGCGCACGUAGGCGGCUUGGUAAGUUAGAGGUGAAAGCCUGGAGCUCAACUCCAGAAUUGCCUUUAAGACUGCCGAGCUAGCAGGUGAGAGAGGUAAGUGGAAUUCCGAGUGUAGAGGUAAAAUUCGUAGAUAUUCGGAAGAACACCAGUGGCGAAGGCGGCUCACUGGACCAUUACUGACGCUGAUGCACGAAAGCUAGGGGAGCAAACAGGAUUAGAUACCCCUGUAGUCCCUGUCUCUUAUAC
This 301-nucleotide ribosomal RNA is filed under the name uncultured bacterium. RNAcentral's name for it is "partial 16S ribosomal RNA". It matches the Rfam family "Bacterial small subunit ribosomal RNA", at positions 509 to 807 of the family's 1533-position model. The record is from RNAcentral.